CCUACGGGUGGCAGCAGUGAGGAAUAUUGGUCAAUGGACGAGAGCCUGAAGCAGCCAAGCAGCGUGAAGGAUGACGGCCCUAUGGGUUGUAAACUCCUUUUAUAUGGAAGUAAAUAGUUCUACGUGUGGGAUUUUGUCUGUACCAUACCAAUAAGGAACGGCUAAGCCCGGGCCAGCAGCGGCGGUAAUACGGAGGAUCGGUGCGUUAUCCGGAUUGAUUGGGUUUAAAGGGAGCGUAGGUGGAUUGUUAAGUUAGUUGUGAAAGUUUGCGGCUCAACCGUAAAGUUGCAGUUGAAACUGGCAGACUUGAGUACAGUAGAGGAGGGCGGAAUUCGAGGUGUAGCGGUGAAAUGCUUAGAUAUCACGAGGAACUCCAGUUGCGAAGGCAGCUCACUGGACUGCAACUGACACUGAGGCUCGAAAGUGUGGGGAUCAAACAGGAUUAGAUACCCGGGUAGUC
Molecule: ribosomal RNA, 460 nt
Filed under: uncultured bacterium
Lineage: Bacteria
Description: partial 16S ribosomal RNA
Rfam family: Bacterial small subunit ribosomal RNA
Source: RNAcentral